AAUAGAUACCCGGGUAGUCCACGCCGUAAACGAUGAGUGCUAAGUGUUAGAGGGUUUCCGCCCUUUAGUGCUGAAGUUAACGCAUUAAGCACUCCGCCUGGGGAGUACGGCCGCAAGGCUGAAACUCAAAGGAAUUGACGGGGGCCCGCACAAGCGGUGGAGCAUGUGGUUUAAUUCGAAGCAACGCGAAGAACCUUACCAGGUCUUGACAUCCUCUGACAACCCUAGAGAUAGGACUUCUCCUUCGGGAGCAGAGUGACAGGUGGUGCAUGGUUGUCGUCAGCUCGUGUCGUGAGAUGUUGGGUUAAGUCCCGCAACGAGCGCAACCCUUGAUCUUAGUUGCCAUCAUUUAGUUGGGCACUCUAAGGUGACUGCCGGUGACAAACCGGAGGAAGGUGGGGAUGACGUCAAAUCAUCAUGCCCCUUAUGACCUGGGCUACACACGUGCUACAAUGGACGGUGCAAAGAGCUGCAAGACCGCGAGGUGGAGCUAAUCUCAUAAAACCGUUCUCAGUUCGGA
RNAcentral lists this ribosomal RNA (520 nucleotides) under uncultured bacterium. RNAcentral describes it as "bacterial SSU rRNA". It matches the Rfam family "Bacterial small subunit ribosomal RNA", at positions 777 to 1297 of the family's 1533-position model. The record is from RNAcentral.